Molecule: ribosomal RNA, 253 nt
Filed under: uncultured bacterium
Lineage: Bacteria
Description: partial 16S ribosomal RNA
Rfam family: Bacterial small subunit ribosomal RNA
Source: RNAcentral
UACGGGGGGGGCAAGCGUUGUUCGGAAUUACUGGGCGUAAAGGGUUUGUAGGUGGCUUGCUAAGUCAGACGUGAAAUCCCUCAGCUUAACUGGGGAACUGCGUCUGAUACUACUCAGCUAGAGUAUGGGAGAGGGUAGUGGAAUUCCCGGUGUAGCGGUGAAAUGCGUAGAUAUCGGGAGGAACAUCAGUGGCGAAGGCGGCUACCUGGCCCAAUACUGACACUCAGGUGCGACAGCGUGGGGAGCAAACAGG